Molecule: long non-coding RNA, 865 nt
Organism: Fukomys damarensis (Damara mole-rat)
Lineage: Eukaryota; Metazoa; Chordata; Mammalia; Rodentia; Bathyergidae
Exons: 3
Source: RefSeq, a predicted model, not a curated record
CCAAGGUUUCGAUACAAAGGUAGCUCUUGGCCUCCUCGCUGACCAAUUCCUGAACAGUCUCAGAAAAGUAGCCUGAUAAUUAGUAGUCACUGACUUUUAAUGAUCUGACCUCAUCCUAAUGGUGCAACCCCAAAAUCUCAGGCAAGACCAGCAAUUCUCACCUCUGUCUUCUUUUAAAUAUCACAACAAGGGCUGUCUAGAUGGGAGCGUUCCUGGAAGCCUGACAGGCACAAAUCCAACUUAGCACAUAAAGUCCACACUUGGAUUGCUAACUAUUUAGCAGAUACAUUAUGAAAGUACAAGUAUAUCAUCACUCAUCCGAUUCAGUAGAAGCUACCCAGAGAGAAACUCGAGUCUUCAAUAUCCACAAAUUUUAACAUCUCCAAACUUUUGGCCUGUGCCUCAUAGACCUGCCUGCAACACACUGGACCUUGAAAAGAGAGGCCUACAGAAGAUGAGAAGAAAGGUCGCCCUCUGAGACAACAGGAAAGACUUAGCUGGGCCAGGGCUGCGUACGUAAGAGUCGCUGAAACCCGGGUUCACAUCCUGAGCAAGGUUGCUGUGCUCUCAUGAUUUUGCUCUGCACGCAGUGCGGGCUCUGCUUCUGAUACGGCGGUAUGGGUGGGGGCACCUAAGUGACGCAGGCUGGAGAAGGGGACCGACACCCUGGCGCUGCGAAGGGAUUAAGAGGUAUUUCUGAUAUCUGCAGAGAACACAAGCAUCGGGAGCCCAAGUAUGGAAUGGAACGGAGGCCUAGAAAGACGGGAUGGAGUGGGUGGUUGUUCUUUCGUUUUCUUUUACUUUUUUUUUUUUUUUGGUCAUCCAUUGACUUUAAUUAAGCCCAGCCAGUCUCAUAGCAUGGGAA